GAUGAAGAACGUAGCGAAAUGCGAUAACUAAUGUGAAUUGCAGAAUUCAGUGAAUCAUCGAGUCUUUGAACGCACAUUGCGCCCCCUGGUAUUCCGGGGGGCAUGCCUGUCCGAGCGUCAUUGCUGCCCUCAAGCACGGCUUGUGUGUUGGGCUCCGUCCCCCCGGGGACGGGCCCGAAAGGCAGCGGCGGCACCGAGUCCGGUCCUCGAGCGUAUGGGGCUUUGUCACCCGCUCUGUAGGCCCGGCCGGCGCCAGCCGACAACCCAUCAUCCUUUUCAGGUUGACCUCGGAUCAGGUAGGGAUACCCGCUGAACUUAGCAUAUCAAUAAGCGGAGGA
This 338-nucleotide unclassified non-coding RNA is filed under the name soil metagenome. RNAcentral describes it as "partial contains 5.8S ribosomal RNA, internal transcribed spacer 2, and large subunit ribosomal RNA". The stretch from base 1 to 120 matches the Rfam family "5.8S ribosomal RNA", at positions 35 to 154 of the family's 154-position model. The record is from RNAcentral.